AAUAAUAAUCGCUGUAAGAUUCGUAGUUAGUGCGCACCGCGGCGUGUACUAAAGUUCAGGCCCUUUCGGGAGGCGUGUUGCUCGUUUCAUUCUCCUCUGUCUCUCCCAAUCGGAUAAAAAACUGUGUGACUGUUGCCCGAGAUUCUGCUUUGCACGGUAACUUUACAUACUUUUCUUCGUUCGCGGUGUUCUAUAAUGCUGAACUCAACCUGUACACUGCUGUGACACUUCCGUAAAUAUGAAUUAUAGAAUGGAACGACAGUGACAGUGAGACUCGAGCGAUUUUUCAUACGUGUUUAAUGAGUGCUACGUACACAAUUCAACCGAAGUUUCAGUGCAUUACUUUUUUGUUAUAAAUAAGGAUCCGUCAGGAGGUACUGAAGGAACGUUUAAGCUACUACGUGGUAUUGUAGGAUGACCGAUCCAAAAAUCGAGAUGCAUUACACGCCACCGAGCUCGGAUACCAUUCAAACAAAACCUUUUCCUAUUCGUGGCGAACGUGCCAAUUUCGUUAACAAGCCUCAUGUGAUCGCUAUGGUGGGCCUGCCGGCUCGGGGUAAAACGUACAUCUCGAAAAAGCUCUGCAGAUACUUGAAUUGGAUCGGUAUAAGCACGAAGGUGUUCAACUUGGGCGAAUACAGACGACACGCAACCACCGCGUAUCAGUGCCACGAAUUUUUCCGUCCCGAUAAUAUUAAGGCGAUGGCAAUACGUACCCAGUGCGCGAUGGACGCCCUGAACGAUGUCUGCCAAUGGUUGGAGAGCGGCGACGGUGAAGUAGCCGUGUUCGAUGCCACUAAUUCGACGAUCGAAAGGCGUCAGCUGAUCAGGGACAUUGUCGUCUCGAAGAUGGGCUUCAAACUGUUUUUUGUAGAGUCCGUCUGUAACGACCCGGAGAUCGUCGAACAGAAUAUUAUGGAAGUAAAGGUGAGCAGUCCCGAUUAUGCGAACAUGAAUAAGGAAGAAGUGUUAGCCGACUUCAUGUUGAGAAUCGAACACUAUCAAGAGAAGUAUCAACCGUUGGACGAGAAUCAAGAAAACGAUCUCUCCUUUAUGAAGAUUUACAACACCGGCGAGAAAGUGCUGGUCCACAAGCACGAGGGUCACAUACAAAGUAGGAUAGUUUAUUACCUUAUGAACAUCCAUAUAGUGCCACGUACGAUCUAUUUAACUAGGCAUGGCGAGAGCGUGAUGAACCUCGAAGGUAAGAUAGGCGGAGACUCAGAGUUGAGCGAAAGAGGCUGGGAAUAUGCCAAAGCAUUAGCGAGCUUCAUCACUAGUCAGGAUAUUCAGGGACUGAGAGUAUGGACUAGCUGGCUGAAGAGGACCAUACAAACGGCAAGCGAUGUGAACGUGCCUCAAGAAAGGUGGAAGGCUUUAAACGAAAUUGACGCGGGUAUCUGCGAGGAAAUGACUUACGAGGAAAUCUCGGACAAAUAUCCGACCGAUUUCGCUGCUAGAGAUCAAAAUAAAUUCUCGUAUCGGUACCCGAGAGGGGAAAGUUACGAAGACUUGGUCGCGCGUUUGGAACCUGUGAUAAUGGAGUUAGAACGGCAGGGUAAUGUUUUAGUCGUCAGCCAUCAAGCCGUUCUACGAUGCCUACUCGCUUACUUCUUAGACAAAAGCGCAGAUGAAUUACCAUACUUGCAAGUGCCACUACAUACUAUUAUUAAAUUAACGCCCGUCGCCUAUGGCUGCAAAGUGGAGCAUAUACGAUUACCAAUUGACGCAGUGGAUACGCACCGAGCAAAACCAAAGGUAGAAAUAAUCAGAAUUGAGCAGUAGUGUGUAGUUAUUCUUCUCUCCCUUUGUAAAUACAUCCUCCUCGCUAAAUAGAGAUGAAAGAGAGAAAGAGCAACGAAAUAAUAAGAGAAUUAAUCGAAACACUCCUAACUUGCUCCUAAUCUUAAUAAAAUACCUAAGUCCCUUACGAUACUUGUGUUUUAAUGUUCCCAGAAUGCCUGACCAUUAGUGGAUUGGGACUACUUUCGUAUCUAAUCUUUAUUUAAUGUAUCCUAUAAAAAAGUUAUCCAAUCUUAAGCUUUGUACACUAAACAUUGCGUCGCAUGCAUUUAUUUACUAAAAGGAGACGUUUAAGACGUCGUACCACGCACGUACUUACUACUAUAUUGUAAUCACAAUAGUUUUGUGUAACUGUGUACGAAAGUAAAUGUUAUCUGGUGUCAAAUUUAAAUGUUAGGCUUGCUAGCAGUAAAGAGACAUGUGUGUACAUGCAUAUUUAAAAGAGUAUGUCCGUCGUGAAACACGUAAGAUUUGUCUUUGUAGAUAGAUCGUCCAGUGAAUCGUGUAAAAAAAAAAAAAUGAACUUUGAUUGUCGUAGUGAAUAAGAAUCUGUUUACGUACAAAGUAAACUAUUUUGUUUGUAUUCGUGUGGUUGUAAUCGGGAUAUGCACAUAAAUGUUUCUAGCGGUACGACGUGACCACAGAAGUUUGACAUUAAAAUAUGUUUAACGAUGUAUCUGCGGAUAUCUAGAGGAACGAUUCCGAAGGAAAGGAAAAUUACCUCGCACGUGAUAACAACGAGGUCGUAGCACGACAGAGCUAAUUCUUACGGUUGUUACGAGAUGCUGAAGACACGCAUUCUUUCGGCAGCUGGCUGCCUUUGCACGUCCGACGCAAUGCGCAUCCCGUUUAAUUUCCUAACUCGAAACAAUUUAGACGAAAAUAUGACAGCAUCCAAUGCUAUUCCUACGUAACCAAGUUAUAUAUAUGACCAAAGGAUUCCCUUCUUUUUCAUUUUCCAACGAUACACACACUGUGUGUUAAGGUAGCGUGACAGUGUAUUUCAUCGAAUUCCGCAUCUAUUCGGAUAGAGACAGAUGUCUCGUGUAAUCAGGAGGAAGAUCCUAUUAUACUCGAGCGGACAUGUAACCACUUAUGUAAAUUUUUCACGAUUCAAACAAUUUUUCAAAUGA
Molecule: RNA transcript, 2936 nt
Organism: Ceratina calcarata
Lineage: Eukaryota; Metazoa; Arthropoda; Insecta; Hymenoptera; Apidae
Gene: Pfrx
Gene name: 6-phosphofructo-2-kinase/fructose-2,6-biphosphatase
Exons: 7
Source: RefSeq, a predicted model, not a curated record